RNAcentral lists this ribosomal RNA (472 nucleotides) under uncultured bacterium. Its description in RNAcentral is "SSU rRNA". It matches the Rfam family "Bacterial small subunit ribosomal RNA", at positions 26 to 518 of the family's 1533-position model. The record is from RNAcentral.
AGGACGAACGCUGGCGGCGUGCUUAACACAUGCAAGUCGAGCGGAAAGGCCCUUCGGGGUACUCGAGCGGCGAACGGGUGAGUAACACGUGAGUAAUCUGCCCCUAGCUCUGGGAUAGCUCCGGGAAACCGGGAUUAAUACCGGAUACGACCACCUUAGACAUCUUUUGUGGUGGAAAGAAUUUCGGCUAGGGAUGAGCUCGCGGCCUAUCAGCUUGUUGGUGGGGUAACGGCCUACCAAGGCGACGACGGUAGCCGGCCUGAGAGGGCGACCGGCCACACUGGGACUGAGACACGGCCCAGACUCCUACGGGAGGCAGCAGUGGGGAAUAUUGCGCAAUGGGCGAAAGCCUGACGCAGCGACGCCGCGUGGGGAUGAAGGCCUUCGGGUUGUAAACCCCUUUCAGCAGGGACGAAGCGAAAGUGACGGUACCUGCAGAAGAAGCGCCGGCUAACUACGCGCCAGCAGCCGC